GGGGAUGUAGCUCAGUGGUAGAGCGCUCGCUUUGCAUGCGAGAGGCCCCGGGUUCCACCCCCGGCAUCUCCA
This 72-nucleotide transfer RNA is filed under the name Rodentolepis nana. RNAcentral's name for it is "Hymenolepis nana tRNA". It matches the Rfam family "tRNA". From Rfam's summary of the family: Transfer RNA (tRNA) molecules are approximately 80 nucleotides in length. Their secondary structure includes four short double-helical elements and three loops (D, anti-codon, and T loops). Lineage: Eukaryota; Metazoa; Platyhelminthes; Cestoda; Cyclophyllidea; Hymenolepididae. The record is from Rfam by way of RNAcentral.